Callithrix jacchus (white-tufted-ear marmoset) is the source of this 1384-nucleotide long non-coding RNA. The record is from Ensembl. Lineage: Eukaryota; Metazoa; Chordata; Mammalia; Primates; Cebidae.
UUCUUGAUCAACUAAGGAUUAUAUUAAACAUGCAUUUUGUUAUGCUUCCAUGACUUGACACAUAAGAAAUGUAAAAUCUAAAAUAAAAUCUCAAAUACUAUUUAUACCUCAAUAAUAUAUUGAAUUAUAAAUGGCUACAUUUAAAAGACAAAAAUAAGUGUUUUCUGAGAAAUGUUUAAUUGGAACCAAAAUUGGGGUAGGCUAGUUUUAUAUUAUAUGAGGAUGCAUAAAGGAUAGAUUUAGUCUAGGGAAUUUGAUAAACUCUUGUUUUUCAUUUUUUGAGAUGGGGUCUCACUCUGUGGCUCCGGUUGGAGUACAGUAGCAGAACAUAGCUCACUGCAGCCUUGACUACUUGGGUGCAAGCCAUACUCCCUCUUCAUCCUCCCAAGCAAUUUAGACCAGAGACACUCAUCACACUCAACUAAUUUAUUUUUAUUUUUGUAGAGACAGGGUAUCCACAUGUUGCCCAGCAAGGUCUCAAACUCCUGAGCUCAAGUGAUCCUCCUACCUUGGCUUCCUGAAUUAUUGGGAAUACAGACUCCAAGCGGAAGAAGUAGUCCUAAUUUAGAAUAUAUUAGAAUCAUGGUAGCUGUAAAAGAACUGUGACAGAAACAAGAGCUGUCUCUUAAAACCUAUGCUCAGACGUGUGGCAAAUCUUUCCAAUCAAUUAUAUUGGAGAGGACACUUGGAGAAAACACUGUCUAUGAGGAAUGGUCCAUGUCCAGUGAAUGCCAGUACCUUGAUCUUGGACUUCCUGGACUCCAGAACUGUAAGAAAUAAAUUUUUUCAAUAAAUUACCCUGCUCAGGUAUCCUGCUAUAGUGGCAUGAGCACCCUGAACCAGCAGACUGCACUGAGAGCCUAGGGUUAUGAAAGCCAGAGCAAGAGAUGAAGGCAGCUCAGAAAAGAAAUGAAGGGAACGGUAAAUGAAGAUAAAGACUGCUAAUCUUGUGCUACAUUGAAAAAAGCUUUCAAGGAAUUAAUGACUCAAGAAACAAUUUUAUUGUAUGUUGCUGUUAAUGUUGCUUUAGCUAAUUUUGGCUUGAUUUAAAUCUAGACAUAAAGUGUUGAUCAUUUUUCUCCCUGGUGAGCCAUAUGGUUCACUCAGAUACUUCUCCCUAGUUUCUAUUCAAAUAUCGCUUUAUCAGUGAGACCCUUACUGACACUCUAUAAAGUGUAAAAUAUCGCCGCACACCUCACUUCCACCUUCUUUUUGCAAGUUUUAUUUUUCUCAAUAAAAGUUAUAAAAAAGACAUUUAGUUUUUUAUUUGCUUAUAUAUCUCUUUCCCUCACCUGAAUGUAUGCUCUGUGAACAGAGGAAGAAUGUUUGUUGACUGCUCUGCCUCCAACAUUCAGAAAAUUAUAUAAGAUAUUCAAUUGUUUCU